Molecule: ribosomal RNA, 463 nt
Filed under: uncultured bacterium
Lineage: Bacteria
Description: partial 16S ribosomal RNA
Rfam family: Bacterial small subunit ribosomal RNA
Source: RNAcentral
CCUACGGGCGGCUGCAGUAGGGAAUUUUCGUCAAUGGGCGCAAGCCUGAACGAGCAAUGCCGCGUGAACGAGGACGGUCCUCUGAUCGUAAAGCUCUGUUUAUGGGGAAAUAGAGCGGAGAGCGGAUAUGCUUUCUGAUUGAUAUUACCCUUCGAGGUAGUCACGCAAAACUACGUGCCAGCAGCCGCGGUAAUACGUACGUGGCGUGCGUUAUGCUGAAUGAUUGGGCGUAAGGGGGGGGUAGGGGGCCUGCUAAGUCUGAGUGAAAGGUACCGGCUCAACCGGUACAGGCUCUGGAUACUGGCGGGCUAGAGAGCAGGAGAGGGCGGUGGAACGCCAGGUGUAGCGGUAAAAUGCGUAGAGAUAUGGAAGAACACCAGUGGCGAAGGCGGCCGCCUGGCCUGUAACUGACGCUGAGGCACGAAAGCGUGGGGAGCAAAUAGGAUUAGAUACCCCUGUAGUC